CCUACGGGCGGCAGCAGUGCGGAAUAUUUGUCAAUGAACGAGAGUCUGAACCAGCCAAGUCGCGUGAAGGAUGACUGCCCUAUGGGUUGUCAACUUCUUUUAUAUAGGAAUAAAAUGUUCCACGUGUGACAUUUUGUAUGUACCUUAUGAAUAAGGAUCGGCUAACUCCGUGCCAGCAGCCGCGGUAAUACGGAGGAUCCGAGCGUUAUCCGGAUUUAUUGGGUUUCAAGGGAGCGUAGGUGGGUUGUUAAGUCAGUUGUGAAAGUUUGCGGCUCAACCGUAAAAUUGCAAUUGAAACUGGCAGUCUUGAGUACAGUAGAGGUAGGCGGAAUUCGUGGUGUAGCGGUGAAAUGCUUAGAUAUCACGAAGAACUCCGAUUGCGAAAGCAGUUCACUAGACUGCAACUGACACUGAGGCUCGAAAGUGUGGGUAUCAAACAGGAUUAGAUACCCCUGUAGUC
Molecule: ribosomal RNA, 460 nt
Filed under: uncultured bacterium
Lineage: Bacteria
Description: partial 16S ribosomal RNA
Rfam family: Bacterial small subunit ribosomal RNA
Source: RNAcentral